GACGAACGCUGGCGGCGUGCUUAACACAUGCAAGUCGAACGGAAAGGCCCUGCUUUUGUGGGGUGCUCGAGUGGCGAACGGGUGAGUAACACGUGAGUAACCUGCCCUUGACUUUGGGAUAACUUCAGGAAACUGGGGCUAAUACCGGAUAUGAGCUCCUGCUGCAUGUUGGGGGUUGGAAAGUUUCGGCGGUUGGGGAUGGACUCGCGGCUUAUCAGCUUGUUGGUGGGGUAGUGGCUUACCAAGGCUUUGACGGGUAGCCGGCCUGAGAGGGUGACCGGCCACAUUGGGACUGAGAUACGGCCCAGACUCCUACGGGAGGCAGCAGUGGGGAAUAUUGCACAAUGGGCGGAAGCCUGAUGCAGCAACGCCGCGUGCGGGAUGACGGCCUUCGGGUUGUAAACCGCUUUCGCCUGGGAAGAAGCGUGAGUGACGGUAAUGGGUAAAGAAGCACCGGCUAACUACGUG
This 468-nucleotide ribosomal RNA is filed under the name uncultured bacterium. RNAcentral's name for it is "partial 16S ribosomal RNA". It matches the Rfam family "Bacterial small subunit ribosomal RNA", at positions 28 to 507 of the family's 1533-position model. The record is from RNAcentral.